RNAcentral lists this transfer RNA (78 nucleotides) under Bacteroidota bacterium. RNAcentral's name for it is "Bacteroidetes bacterium (soil metagenome) tRNA-Pro". It matches the Rfam family "tRNA". Rfam says of the family: Transfer RNA (tRNA) molecules are approximately 80 nucleotides in length. Their secondary structure includes four short double-helical elements and three loops (D, anti-codon, and T loops). Lineage: Bacteria; Pseudomonadati; Bacteroidota. The record is from RNAcentral.
CGGGGCGUAGCGCAGCCCGGCUAGCGCGCCUGCCUUGGGCGCAGGAGGUCGUGGGUUCGAAUCCCGCCGCCCCGACAA